This 307-nucleotide long non-coding RNA is filed under the name Capra hircus (goat). Its description in RNAcentral is "lncRNA (ENSCHIG00000004326.1)". Lineage: Eukaryota; Metazoa; Chordata; Mammalia; Artiodactyla; Bovidae. The record is from RNAcentral.
CCGCAAGAAAGGGAACCUGGCAGGAAAGCCGGAGGGGCACAGCCUGCUUGCUUCUCCCCGGGAUCUGCUGUAGGAGCAGGUUGCAAAAAUGGUCAGAACACAGUCUAUUCUCUGUGCGCUAAGGCUGAACUUUGAGGAAGGGUUUUACUACCCGGGAACAAAGUCAAGAAUGGAAGAAGAAAGAAAGGGUAUGGAGAACCAGACAAGAGGUCCGUAAAGCUUGUACUAUCUGACUUCAAUUAAUUAGAGUGAGGAGAAUGAGAAAAUAGACACAAUAUGCUUAUAAUAUUUAUGCAAUGUUGACUUU